This 21-nucleotide non-coding RNA is filed under the name Caenorhabditis elegans. Lineage: Eukaryota; Metazoa; Nematoda; Chromadorea; Rhabditida; Rhabditidae. The record is from RNAcentral.
UCUGAUUUAUUUAGCUCAAUA